ACAUGCAAGUCGAGGGGAAACCACCUCUAAAGCUUGCUUUUGAUGGGCGUCGACCGGCGCACGGGUGAGUAACGCGUAUCCAACCUGCCCACCACUUGGGAAUAACCUUGCGAAAGUAAGACUAAUACCCAAUGACGUCUCUAGAAGACAUCUGAAGGAGAUUAAAGGAUUUAUCGGUGAUGGAUGGGGAUGCGUCUGAUUAGCUUGUUGGCGGGGUAACGGCCCCACCAAGGCGACGAUCAGUAGGGGUUCUGAGAGGAAGGUCCCCCACAUUGGAACUGAGACACGGUCCAAACUCCUACGGGAGGCAACAGGAGGAAUAUUGGUCAAUGGACGAGAGUCUGAACCAGCCAAAGUAGCGUGCAGGAUGACGGCCCUAUGGGUCGUAAACUGCUUUUAUAAGGGAAUAAAGUGAGCCUCGUGAGGCUUUUUGCAUGUACCUUAUGAAUAAGGACCGGCUAAUUCCGUGCCAGCAGCCGCGGUAAUACGGAAGGUCCGGGCGUUAUCCGGAUUUAUUGGGUUUAAAGGGAGCGUAGGCCGGAGAUUAAGCGUGUUGUGAAAUGUAGACGCUCAACGUCUGCACUGCAGCGCGAACUGGUUUCCUUGAGUACGCACAAAGUGGGCGGAAUUCGUGGUGUAGCGGUGAAAUGCUUAGAUAUCACGAAGAACUCCGAUUGCGAAGGCAGCUCACUGGAGCGCAACUGACGUUGAAGCUCGAAAGUGCGGGUAUCGAACAGGAUUAGAUACCCUGGUAGUCCGCACGGUAAACGAUGGAUGCCCGCUGUUGGUCUGAAUAGGUCAGCGGCCA
Molecule: ribosomal RNA, 808 nt
Filed under: uncultured bacterium
Lineage: Bacteria
Description: bacterial SSU rRNA
Rfam family: Bacterial small subunit ribosomal RNA
Source: RNAcentral